This 253-nucleotide ribosomal RNA is filed under the name uncultured bacterium. RNAcentral's name for it is "partial 16S ribosomal RNA". It matches the Rfam family "Bacterial small subunit ribosomal RNA", at positions 524 to 776 of the family's 1533-position model. The record is from RNAcentral.
UACGAAGGGGGCUAGCGUUGCUCGGAAUCACGUGGGCGUAAAGGGCGCGUAGGCGGCCGAUUAAGUCGGGGGUGAAAGCCUGUGGCUCAACCACAGAAUUGCCUCGAUACUGGUUGGCUUGAGACCGGAAGAGGACAGCGGAAUGCGAGUGUAGAGGUGAAAUUCGUAGAUAUUCGCAAGAACACCAGUGGCGAAGGCGGCUCACUGGCCCGGUACUGACGCUGGAGGUGCGAAAGCGUGGGGAGCAAACAGG